CAACAUUAGGUUGAAACGCCAGUUCCCGUAUGAUCACCGAAGUUAAGCAAUGUCAGUACCUGGAUGGGUGACCGCUUGGGAAUAGCAGGUUCUGU
RNAcentral lists this ribosomal RNA (95 nucleotides) under Acanthosepion pharaonis. Lineage: Eukaryota; Metazoa; Mollusca; Cephalopoda; Sepiida; Sepiidae. The record is from RNAcentral.